GCCCUUCAACUAAUAAAAGAAAAAGAUGUGCAACACAAAUGGAAGUAGUACAUGGACGGACUGACCGUCAACUAAUAGUGCUAAAUGAGUUGAACCAGCCUAUUGGUACAACUAAAGUAGUGGUCACUGAAUUUUCCAGCUUUCUUGGCACAUUGGCAAGGAAUGGGAUAUUUUGUCCUCUUAAUCUCAGUUGGACAAAGUUGAAGACACACGAUGAAAUAUGGAGCUAUAUUCAGGAGAAAUAUGACAUUCCCAACAAUGGAAAAGAUUAGGCUAUGAGAUCAGUUUACCUGGGAGGACAAAAAUAACCCUGGUGAAUCUCGAUUUCCUGCUCAGAAACUUAAAGAAUCAUGAAUCAAUAAGGGUGUUCGAGAAAUCAUCAGAAAGCUAAAAAGUUUUUUUCAGCUGGAUCACUAGCAGCUCUACAAAACAAACAAAUACUAGAACACAAGCUACAUAAAUGCAAAGAAAAAUAAUCAAAAGCAGAAGGAGAAGUCAAAUAAUGUUCCGCCUAUAUAUCAAGUACCAAAACAAGUGCAAUAGGUGCCAGCUAUAUCUCAAGUAUCAGAACAAGUGCAACAGGUGUCUCUGGAUUCAACCUCUCUUGCUACACCAGUAGAGGAGCAAGUACGACAAGAAUUGCCAGACUCCACCAUUCGUGCAUCACAACCCACAGUUGAACGAGUAUAGUAAGAUCAGUCACAACUUUCUAAUUUACGAGCAAACGAACAAUUUGGAGCAGGCAAGAAUAUAUAUAUAUGUUAGUUCAUACUAUUUCAAAAAUUAUCUGCAUUUCAGUAAUUCUGUUGUUGAUAUUAUUAUAGUCCCUUCAACUAAUAAAAGAAAAAGAGGCGCUACACAAAUGUAAAUAGUACAUGGACGGACUGACCGUCAACUGAUAGUGCUAAAUGAGUUGAACCAGCCUAUUGGUCCAACUAAAGUAGUGGUCACUGAAUUUUUCAGCUUUCUUGGCACAUUGGCAAGGAAUGGGACAUUUUUUCCUCUUAAUCUCAGUUGGACAAAGUUGAAGACACACGAUGAUAUAUGGAGCUAUAUUCAGAUUUUAAGUUCUCAAUAUUUUAAUUUCUACUUGAAUGUUUUUUCCAGUUUUACACUAACCCAAUUCAACCAAAUUAUAGGAGAAAUAUGACAUUCCCAACCAUGGGAAAGAUUGGGCUAUGAGAUCAAUUGCUACUGCGUUUAGAGGGUAUAAGUCCAGACUCAAGAAAGAUCACUUUUAUGUCUACACCAAUGAUAAAUUCGAAGGGCAAAAAGGCCUAGCACUGUUCUAGAACCUGUAUAUGAGGAUCUCCUUAAGUAUUAGAAUUUUGAAGAAGCUGAGGAUACAUCCAAGACUAACAAAGAAAAUAAAAAAAAGUUUAAGUAUCCGCACACUAUGGGAAAAAUAAGUUUUGCUCUAAUCCAUGAGGAAAAAAAGAAGGAAAAUUCUGGUACUUUGUCAAAUAAGUAAUUCUUUGUGGCUACUAGAAGAAGAAAACCUAAUCGAGUAUAUAAGGACACAUCUGAAGAGAUUACAAACAAAAUAGUUGAAAAACAGAGAGUAGAGACUCAAGAAAGUGAAGAUGAUACUCAAUCAACUGAUGUAUUCACAACAGUUAUGGGGCCUGAUCAUCCUGGUUGAUUAAGACUAUUGGGACAAUGGGUUACCAAGUCUCUUUUGAAACCGAAAGCAAGUGAUUCUGGAUCCUCUUCAAAAGCUGAUAAACUGGUGGAGAAGAGAGGAUGCAAUAAAGAAUGUAGGAAAAAUUCAAUGCUCAAAGAGAUAUCAUUGAGCGAGAUGUUACAAUGAACAUCAUUGCACAACUUUAGCGUUUAAAUCCAGGAUUAACACUUGAUUCUAAUAUGUUAGGAUUCAAUGUUGAUUCGUCGGGAGAAGUGGUUGCUAAUCAACCAAUAAACCGUCCAUCUGUUGGCAGUAACAAUCAAGAUCAGUCUUCAUUUCUUAAUCUGUUGGUAGUAAUAAUGGUUGUUCUAUAUAAGUGUUGCUCAUAUAAGUAUUGUAUAAUAGUUAUGUUAGUAUAUCUAUUGCUUAAAAAAUAUGAAAGCAUAGUAUUUUGUUUGAGGAUCAGAUAUCAUCCUUGGCUUGUAGGCGUGUUUUUCGGUUUUAGAUUGAUAUGGUUUUUUCUAAACCAAGGAAAACACCCUUGGACUCCACUUUAGGAAGUUCUUAAUAGUAGUAUUAGUCUCAAGCUCUCAGCUAUUGGAACCUGGUAGCCAUCACUUCUAGGCAGUUGCAUUGGAUUCAAAAUUAAAAAUAAUGGGUUCCCUUAAAUAUGUUGUAGCUGAUCAAUGCUCGAAGAGGAUCCAUGUUCAGUUGAGAAAUUUUCUUGUAAAAUAAAUGUUGGUGAUACAAGUGACGUUGACUUGAAAGGAAGUAGUUGUACUAAAAAUUCUGAUUGUAAUAUUGAACCUUGAAAUCUCUCAUUAACUACAGAUUGGCCUUCUAGCCUACGCUGUUGAUAAUUGCUGCUAGAUAGUCCUUCUAGCUCAUUAACUACAGAUAGUCCUUGAAAUUUCUCACAUUAUUCUCUGGAACCUCAAAAAUCUAAAUUCUAAAAUAUUUUGUUUAGUGAUCUCGUGUACUUCUCUGGAAUUUGAUCUUGGUGGUUCUCUACAAUAUGCAACCUCAUAGUUUUCCUCAACAUGAUCAGCCAACACAUUAAAUGUAUUGGUAUAUUUGUCAGGCAAUACAAUUACUACAUGCCCUUUAACUGAAGUAAUAGUACUAUUUGCCCUUUCCUUACCACCAGAAGCAACUUUAACAUACUCACCAAGUUCAAAUAUCUUGGACAAAUCUUUGUUGUGUAUUACAAUACUCUAGGAAGACCUUCACUCUCCAAUUUAAGGUGUCCAAAAUGAAGAAAGUGAUGAAGACAUUGACCUUACUUGAGAAGAUUUUUUGAUUAUGGAUAAAUGCUCUAAUAUUAAUAGUUUUGUGUUGACUUUCUUAAAACUUAUCGUGACUCAAACUUGCUAGUAUGUAAAAACUUAGCUAAUCAUUUGGACAUGAUUGCAUUUUGCUUUUGGAUUUAAAUUACUAGCUUGUUGCAUAUUUUGAAUUAUGAGAUUAUUAAUGAAUGAUUUUGUUUUAUGAUG
Long non-coding RNA from Capsicum annuum, 3117 nucleotides. RefSeq lists it as uncharacterized. The record is from RefSeq and is a predicted model, not a curated record. NCBI's taxonomy places the organism in Eukaryota, Viridiplantae, Streptophyta, Magnoliopsida, Solanales, Solanaceae. The transcript is spliced from 7 exons.